This 253-nucleotide ribosomal RNA is filed under the name uncultured bacterium. Its description in RNAcentral is "partial 16S ribosomal RNA". It matches the Rfam family "Bacterial small subunit ribosomal RNA", at positions 524 to 776 of the family's 1533-position model. The record is from RNAcentral.
UACAGAGGGUGCGAGCGUUAAUCGGAAUUACUGGGCGUAAAGGGCGCGCAGGCGGCCCUCCAAGUCAGGCGUGAAAACCCCGGGCUCAACCCGGGAAUAGCGCUUGAGACUGGGGGGCUUGAGUUCGGGAGAGGAGAGUGGAAUUCCCAGUGUAGAGGUGAAAUUCGUAGAUAUUGGGAAGAACACCGGUGGCGAAGGCGGCUCACUGGCCCGUAACUGACGCUCAUGCACGACAGCGUGGGGAUCAAACAGG